This 406-nucleotide ribosomal RNA is filed under the name uncultured bacterium. Its description in RNAcentral is "partial 16S ribosomal RNA". It matches the Rfam family "Bacterial small subunit ribosomal RNA", at positions 30 to 526 of the family's 1533-position model. The record is from RNAcentral.
AUUGAACGCUGGCGGCAGGCCUAACACAUGCAAGUCGAACGAGUGGCGGACGGGUGAGUAACGUCUGGGAAACUGCCUGAUGGAAGGGGAAAAAUACUGGAAAAGGUAGCUAAUACCGGCUUCCCUAAUAAUAGCCCAGCUGGGAUGGGCUGGUUGGUGGGGUAAUGGCUAACCAAGGCGACGAUCCCUAGCUGGUCGGUGAGGAUGACCAGCCACACUGGAACUGAGACACGGUCCAGACUCCUACGGUAGGCAGCAGGGGGGAAUAUUGCACAAUGGGCGCAAGCCUGAUGCAGCCAUGCCGCGUGUAUGAAGAAGGCCUUCGGGUUGUAAAGUACUUUCAGCGGGGAGGCGUUACCCGCAGAAGAAGCCCCGGCUAACUCCGUGCCAGCAGCCGCGGUAAUAC